AAAACUUUCAACAACGGAUCUCUUGGCUCUGGCAUCGAUGAAGAACGCAGCGAAACGCGAUAAGUAAUGUGAAUUGCAGAAUCCAGUGAAUCAUCGAAUCUUUGAACGCACAUUGCGCCCGCCAGCAUUCUGGCGGGCAUGCCUGUUCGAGCGUC
This 155-nucleotide ribosomal RNA is filed under the name Beauveria bassiana. RNAcentral describes it as "5.8 ribosomal RNA". It matches the Rfam family "5.8S ribosomal RNA". From Rfam's summary of the family: 5.8S ribosomal RNA (5.8S rRNA) is a component of the large subunit of the eukaryotic ribosome. It is transcribed by RNA polymerase I as part of the 45S precursor that also contains 18S and 28S rRNA. Lineage: Eukaryota; Fungi; Ascomycota; Sordariomycetes; Hypocreales; Cordycipitaceae. The record is from RNAcentral.